Heterocephalus glaber (naked mole-rat) is the source of this 1003-nucleotide non-coding RNA. The record is from RefSeq and is a predicted model, not a curated record. NCBI's taxonomy places the organism in Eukaryota, Metazoa, Chordata, Mammalia, Rodentia, Bathyergidae.
UGUGGUUAGACUGGCUCCAGGUCUCUCUGGGAAACGUAGUUUGGGUCCAAACAGCCAACAGAAGAUCACCAGGUGGUGGCGAUCGAGGCGAGGCAGGUUUGAGAAGCUACCGGAAAUGGGUUCUUCUUCAGACAGGAAGGUCGGUGCGAGUCUGAGAGCGAUCGUCCUGCAUCCGGGCUAGUGCAGGGCUGAAGAUAGGCUGAAGGGGCCCAGAGGAAGAGAAGCUGGUGAAUGUAUAGAUGUGGGAUCUGACUGUCACAUUAUAAAAGGAAAUGUGUCCAGUCUUCCAGUCCAGGAAAAUCCCCACACGUUUGGGGGGCUCACUCAUUCGCAGGUGUGAAAGAGAAAGGACCUGCCACAGGAUGCUCCCAGCCUUACCAAGAAGCGUGCCGUCUUCAUAUGCCCCUGUGAUCUCUGCUCCUCCCCAGAUUUCCUCAGCUCCUUCAGAUGCUCCAGCUGCUUCUGAAUUUGCUCCUGGAGAAAGAACAUUUUUUAGAUGCUUACCCUUGGCUCCUGCUUUAGCUACUGUCAACUCCAGAGGAGAAAAUCUGCUUCCAGGAGCAUAAGGAGAAGUAUUCAUGAAGGAGGAAGAAUGAAUCCAUUAUAAUGGGGAGCAGAGCCAAGAGGCUCCCUUCUCACCUGAAAAUGAAAGUACUUCUGGAUUUGAGGACUUGUGAAACAGACCACCUGUCAUCUUUCCCAGAGUGUCUGGAUAUCCAGUUCCUUCUUCCUCAAAGGAUGCUGUAGAUUUUUCUUCUCUAGCCAAAGAUGCCCUGGAAAGUGUGAUCCUGGAUAUACCCUCCUCCAUGACCAUGGAAUAUUCUGGAUUCCUGGAGCCAUUCUCUAGAGUCACAGCAGCCCCUACUCUGGAGGUGGCUGCUGAGUCUGCAUUUCCAUUUCUCAUUUCCUCAAGAGAGGGCCCCAGUGCAGAGCCCCUGGAGCCUUCCUGCUGAGCUGGCAUUCCUCCGGAGCUGGGUGCUCACCCCAUUCUCCUUGUUCCCUG